RNAcentral lists this ribosomal RNA (119 nucleotides) under Pteropus alecto (black flying fox). Lineage: Eukaryota; Metazoa; Chordata; Mammalia; Chiroptera; Pteropodidae. The record is from RNAcentral.
AUCUGUGGCCAUGCUGCCCCAAACAAGCCCGAUCCCGUCUGAUCUUGAAAGCUAAGCAAGUUUGGGCCUGAUUAGUACUUGGAUGGGAGACCACCUAGAAAGACUAGGUGCUGUAGGUG